RNAcentral lists this ribosomal RNA (253 nucleotides) under uncultured bacterium. Its description in RNAcentral is "partial 16S ribosomal RNA". It matches the Rfam family "Bacterial small subunit ribosomal RNA", at positions 524 to 776 of the family's 1533-position model. The record is from RNAcentral.
UACGAAGGGGGCUAGCGUUGUUCGGAUUUACUGGGCGUAAAGCGCACGUAGGCGGAUUGUUAAGUCAGGGGUGAAAUCCUGGAGCUCAACUCCAGAACUGCCUUUGAUACUGGCAAUCUCGAGUCCGGAAGAGGUGAGUGGAACUCCUAGUGUAGAGGUGAAAUUCGUAGAUAUUGGGAAGAACACCAGUGGCGAAGGCGGCUCACUGGACCGGCAUUGACGCUGAGGUGCGAAAGCGUGGGGAGCAAACAGG